RNAcentral lists this microRNA (23 nucleotides) under Drosophila virilis. Its description in RNAcentral is "dvi-miR-9695-5p". Lineage: Eukaryota; Metazoa; Arthropoda; Insecta; Diptera; Drosophilidae. The record is from miRBase by way of RNAcentral.
UUAGUUGCUAAUGUGGCCGAUAU